Molecule: long non-coding RNA, 935 nt
Filed under: Medicago truncatula (barrel medic)
Lineage: Eukaryota; Viridiplantae; Streptophyta; Magnoliopsida; Fabales; Fabaceae
Description: long non-coding RNA (MTRU_LNC003401)
Source: RNAcentral
ACACUAAUUUCUUUACUGUUCAUUAUAAUAAAACACUCAUGCAUAUGAAGAGUCAACAAAAAUUACAAAAAAAAUAGUCUUAAUUAGAAACAUAGAAUUUACUCCAAAUUUAAACAUAAAAGAGUUAACAAAAGUCAACGAAAUUACAAUAAAACAGUGUUAAUUAAAAACAGAGAACCGAAACAACUAAUUACCCGCAUCCCAAUCCUCAUCAUCUUCGACAUCUUCGAACUCCAUUGACGAUGUGUGCGAAGAACCAGAACAAGAAGCACUCUCCCUUUUCAUUUGCUCUAUCCAUUCUUCCAUUCUCGACAUUGUUUCUUCAAUCCUGCUAAUCUAUUCAGUUUGUUCCCGAGCUUUCUUAAGAGCCUUUUCAAUCUUUUCAUUCCUCUUCUUAAUCCUCUUAAGGCGUCUAUCGCGUCUCUUUUCAAAACAAUAUUCAUAAAUCCUGAAAGCAAGUAAAUGUAUUGUGGCACCACAACAAAGUCAACGAAUAUAGUGAUCAUAAAUACAGCAUCACUAUGGUCAUAUGAUGGCAGUAGUGGUGGUGAUUGUGUGAUUGGAGCGUACCUUCCGCCACAUUCCGCUGGCGAUAGUGGCGACGGUGGUUGGAUGAUUUGUGCACACCCUCCGCCACAUUCUACCACCACUGUGGUGAAUCCGUUUCGCCUUCGCACCCGAUUUGGAUUUGGUCGCACUAAAAAACAACAUAAGCCAGCAUCAACGCAACAAGAGCAAAAAAUAUCAACCUAUAAAAACAGAGAAAGGAAGAAAAAAAAACAAAGCAAAUGAAGUGUGUUAGUAUAUAACAACCAAAAUACACCAAAAUGAAAAACAUAGGAAUUGAAACAAUAAAGAUUCAUACUAUCUCUUGAACUCCAUACUUUUCAAAUCAAGAGUCAAGCACACCUUCAAAGUUCAACUUAAGAUUAUCC